GACGAUAAGACCCUAAAAGUUUUAUUUAGGUGAAUUAUUUGGGGUUAAGGUCGGACAAGGAAUUGGCUGGGUUAGCUUGUUUAAUAAAACUAGGGUUUUAAAGGACUUUUUGGUUUUUGGUCCUUAAGAUUAGGAUAAAUAGAAUAAAUUACUUUAGGGAUAACAGCGUUAUAAUUUUAGAAAGAUCUUAUUAGUAAAAUUGAUUGCGACCUCGAUGUUGAAUUAAAAGAGCUUUAUGGG
RNAcentral lists this ribosomal RNA (240 nucleotides) under Scopelocheirus schellenbergi. RNAcentral's name for it is "partial 16S ribosomal RNA". The record is from RNAcentral. Lineage: Eukaryota; Metazoa; Arthropoda; Malacostraca; Amphipoda; Lysianassidae.